This 253-nucleotide ribosomal RNA is filed under the name uncultured bacterium. RNAcentral describes it as "partial 16S ribosomal RNA". It matches the Rfam family "Bacterial small subunit ribosomal RNA", at positions 524 to 776 of the family's 1533-position model. The record is from RNAcentral.
UACGAAGGGGGCUAGCGUUGCUCGGAAUCACUGGGCGUAAAGCGCACGUAGGCGGAUCGUUAAGUCAGGGGUGAAAUCCUGGAGCUCAACUCCAGAACUGCCUUUGAUACUGGCGACCUUGAGUUCGGGAGAGGUGAGUGGAACUGCGAGUGUAGAGGUGAAAUUCGUAGAUAUUCGCAAGAACACCAGUGGCGAAGGCGGCACACUGGCCCGAUACUGACGCUGAGGUGCGAAAGCGUGGGGAGCAAACAGG